CCGGAUUUAGUAACUCGCACAAAUGCCUUCGGGCUUAGCCCGAAAUUAGUAUCUCGCACAAAUGCCUUCGGAUCUUAGUCCGGAUUUAGUAUCUCGCACAAAUGCCUUCGGAUCUUAGUCCAGAUAUGGUCACUUAGCACAAAGCCUUCGGGACUUAGCCCGGACAUCAUUCAAAUAACCAUGCACAUUUAACAAUAAAUCAUGGCACAUUCGUAUUUCAUUUUCGUUAGCAAA
RNAcentral lists this long non-coding RNA (234 nucleotides) under Gossypium barbadense (sea-island cotton). Its description in RNAcentral is "long non-coding RNA (GBAR_LNC000406)". Lineage: Eukaryota; Viridiplantae; Streptophyta; Magnoliopsida; Malvales; Malvaceae. The record is from RNAcentral.